Molecule: ribosomal RNA, 878 nt
Filed under: uncultured Planctomycetota bacterium
Lineage: Bacteria; Pseudomonadati; Planctomycetota
Description: bacterial SSU rRNA
Rfam family: Bacterial small subunit ribosomal RNA
Source: RNAcentral
GGAUUAGGCAUGCAAGUCGAGCGAGAAGCUUUUUUUUGAUCUUUCGAGUGAAGAAGAAAGUGGACAGCGGCGAAAGGGAGAGUAACGAGUAGAUCACGUACCCAGGGGUGCAGGAUAGCGGGGGGAAAUCGCCGGUAAUACUGCAUAAUGUCUCCGGACCAAAGAUUUAUCGCCCUUGGAGCGGUCUGCUUACUAUUAGUUUGUUGGUGGGGUAAAGGCCUACCAAGGCUAAGAUGGUUAGCGGGUGUGAGAGCAUGGCCCGUCUCACUGGGACUGAGACACUGCCCAGACGUCUACGGACGGCUGCAGUCGAGAAUCUUCCGCAAUGGACGAAAGUCUGACGGAGCGACGCCGCGUGCGGGAUGAAGGCCUUCGGGUUGUAAACCGCUGUCAGAGGGGAGGAAAUUUUGACCGAUCCUCAGAGGAAGCACAGGCUAAGUUCGUGCCAGCAGCCGCGGUAAUACGAACUGUGCGAACGUUAUUCGGAAUCACUGGGCUUAAAGGGUGCGUAGGCGGCGAUGUAGGUCAGGUGUGAAAUCCCACGGCUCAACCGUGGAACUGCGCCUGAAACCAUGUCGCUUGAGGAAGUCAGAGGUAAGCGGAACUGAUGGUGGAGCGGUGAAAUGCGUUGAUAUCAUCAGGAACACCGGUGGCGAAAGCGGCUUACUGGGACUUUUCUGACGCUGAGGCACGAAAGCCAGGGGAGCGAACGGGAUUAGAUACCCCGGUAGUCCUGGCUGUAAACGAUCUGUACUAGUCUGUGGGGACCUCCACAUCCUCUCGGACGUAGCGAAAGUGUUAAGUACAGCGCCUGGGGAGUAUGGUCGCAAGGCUGAAACUCAAAGGAAUUGACGGGGGCUCACACAAGCGGUGGAGGA